CUUAGGGGAGUCUGUAGCAUGUCUCGAUGUAUACAUCACUUUUCAUGUACAAAAAUGUAAAUGUAAAGUCUGUUGUCCUCAGGACAAAAUCGUAAGAUAAACAUGAAAGGUGCUUUUGGCGUUCUGACAUCUACAACUUACCCAUAUGCAGAGCAGACAGUUUCGACACUGCAGCGAGUAGAACUGGUUCAUCAGAAGUCAUAUUUUUUAUGAAAAUGAUUAGUUUUAGAGAACUCCGAAAACAAACCGUUUGUAGAAUUCAGUAGACUAAUUACAACAUUCUCAAAGUCGCGCCUAUAAAGCAAAUAAGAUUCGAUGUCACGCAGCAUUGCGCUGACCGAUCAGCCUAUGACAUCACAGUACCGCGAGAGCGAAUAAAAGCUGUUCUGAGAUUUAGGACCGGUCUCGCGGGAUUAUGACAUUUAAAUCGGUCUGCGCAUCGUUGCAUGAUCUCGACUGCUGGUAUUUCAGGAAAAACCGGAUCGGAUCAAGAACCGGAACACAGCAACAAGUAUUAUUUGUAAGACUACACUGAGACACGAGUGAAAUUGCAGGAUAUCUGAGCUAGGAAUGAAAACAAAUUAUUAUUACGAGUUAUUUUUCGUGAAGUAAUUUUAUUCUGUAGCCUAUUUAAUUUUAAGCGCUGCUUAUAUUGAAAACCACUGUUAAGAAAAAGUGAUAUACAAAACAAAAGCAUUUGUACCAUACUUUUCUGUCUUUAUUUAAGAAUGAUUUAAAUGGAAGUCCAUUCCUCAGUUUGGGUGACAUGAAAUGACAAAAAUCCUCAGAAGGAAUCUAUUUCCAUCCGAAAGGACACCGUUACAACUUUUUAACAGAAUGGUUCUGUAUGCAAAGACACUGGUGGUCCUCUGCAUGCUCAUUGGAUGCUUACAGGCUUUUCCCUCUCGUAUCAGCACAGAAGAUCAAAAAGAUGAUGGGAGUUUUGAGAGAAUAAGACGAGAAACACGUGUCUUGGAUGUUACUCCACCAGUGUGUCGUCUGUUAAAUGACAGUUUGUAUUGUCCAAUUCCUUGUGGAAAUGCCACUUGGGAAGCGAAGUAUAUCAUGUCAGAUGGCAAUGGUUCGGGAAUUGAUCAUCCGUCUUUUGUCACCACUGGUUCUGGUGAGCUUAAUGUGACAAUUAAUACAACUAUUGAUGAAAAUGGAUACAAUGCAACUCUUGUGACAUACAGUGGCUCCUGCUGCCUCAAUGAUGUGGAAAUUUCUGUGACUGACAAGGCAGGAUACAAAGUAAAAUGCCCAUUUAAUAUGCGUUACCCUUUAACUACACCUAUACCAAUGACUACACCUAUACCAAUGACUACAUCCAGUAGCCCCACCUUAACUAUCUGUACUGGGUCGAGUUUGAUACUGUUAACAAUUAAGGCUAUGCUUUUCUGAGAUACAUGCUCAACACAUUCAAUCAAAUAAUGCACUUACUUAGUUUUUAUUAUUUUAUAUUGUUUAUUUUUAUUGUUGUAAAUGUGUAGCUUGGAGAAAAAUCUCCCACCAUAGUUUAACUAUAUGCUAAGUGACCACUUAAGACUGGUUUUUUCACACAUGUAUAUUUAUUGCCAACAAUAUUGUAUAGGUCAAAAUGAUACUUUUUUGUGCAAAAAAAUCAUUAGAAUUUUAAGUAAAGAUCAAUUUCUGUAAAGAUAUUUUGUACAUUUACUACUGUAAAUAUAUAUAUAUAUAAAAAAUUAGUAGAUGCAGUUGCUAAGGACUUUAUUUGGACAACUUUAAGGCAAGUUUCUUAAUGUUUUGAUGUUUUGCACACCUAGAUUCGAGAUUUUCAAAUUGUGCUUAACAAACCAUACAUCAAUGGAAAGUUACUUAUAAAAUGAAGUUGGCUUUUUUCAACUAUAUUUUAUAAGUUAUAACAACUCAUCUGUAGUAAUAAUAAGUCAUCUAUAGUCAAGAUGAGUAAUAGUUAGUUGAAAUUACUUAAUUAACUGUUAAUCUGAGUUGUUUUAACAAAAAAUUGAGGCAGCAAAGAAUUUUUACAGCGCAAAUCCAUAAAAAAAUUACCUUUAUGACUGGUUUUGUGGUCCAGGCCAGGGUUACAUAAAAAUCUGACUGAUAUUUUACUGCAUUUUAUUUGCUGCAUAUUAUUGUUGCUUUAUUUAUUUGAAAUUUUUAAUAUUAACUUUAUGAAGUGUCAAGUUGCGUAAUUAACAGGUUAUAAAUGAACAAUAAAAGUUCAUUUACAAUUCUUUAGUUUAAGUGUUAAGUCAUAAAAUGGUUAUGAUGAAGUAUUAUUGUGACAUUAUUUGAAAGAUUAUUAUAGUACUCAGAUCCUAAAGCUAUUUCUUUAAAGAUGUGGAACACAGUGAACACUUAAUGUAUGCUGUAACAUUUUUAUGUCAAAACUGACAAGGCUUUACAAAAAUCUAAUAAUUUAAUAAAAGGUACAUGGGAAAAUGUUUUUUCCCAAUGGAAACUAAAAAUGUAAACACCACUUUCUGCUUAAGAGAUAUCAAUUGGUGUUAGAUUUAUUUACUGUUUGUACGAUUUUGCAGGAAUUUUCUACAGCUCAUUGUAAUUUCUGAAUAUCCAUAUGUAACAAGAUUCAUAACCAAAGCAUUUUUUUAAAGAACAUGAGAUAAAUAAAAGU
Molecule: long non-coding RNA, 2617 nt
Organism: Paramisgurnus dabryanus
Lineage: Eukaryota; Metazoa; Chordata; Actinopteri; Cypriniformes; Cobitidae
Source: RefSeq, a predicted model, not a curated record